UACGAAGGGGGCUAGCGUUGUUCGGAAUUACUGGGCGUAAAGCGCGCGCAGGCGGCUAUCCAAGUCAGUGGUGAAAGCCCGGAGCUCAACUCCGGAACUGCCAUUGAAACUGUUUAGCUUGAGGAUGAGAGAGGUGAGUGGAAUUCCCAGUGUAGAGGUGAAAUUCGUAGAUAUUGGGAGGAACACCGGUGGCGAAGGCGGGUCUCUGGGCCGAUACUGACGCUGAGGAGCGAAAGCGUGGGGAGCGAACAGG
This 253-nucleotide ribosomal RNA is filed under the name uncultured bacterium. Its description in RNAcentral is "partial 16S ribosomal RNA". It matches the Rfam family "Bacterial small subunit ribosomal RNA", at positions 524 to 776 of the family's 1533-position model. The record is from RNAcentral.